RNAcentral lists this unclassified non-coding RNA (223 nucleotides) under uncultured Terriglobales bacterium. RNAcentral describes it as "uncultured Acidobacteriales bacterium contains 16S-23S intergenic spacer region". The record is from RNAcentral. Lineage: Bacteria; Pseudomonadati; Acidobacteriota; Terriglobia; Terriglobales.
UCCCCGUUAUCCGAGGCGGUUUCGCUAGAGUGCCCGACUUGACUCGCUGGCAACUAACGAUAAGGGUUGCGCUCGUUGCGGGACUUAACCCAACAUCUCACGACACGAGCUGACGACAGCCAUGCAGCACCUAUGCAGCAGUUCUUGCGAAAAGGGAUAUUUCUACCCCGGUCCACUGCAUUUCGAGCCCAGGUAAGGUGGGAUGACGUGUCGGCAUUAGCCA